GCUUUUGUGGUGUAAUGGUUAGCACACUCGGCGCGUAUUCGAAAGGUCUAGGUUCGAGUCCCGGCGAAGACU
RNAcentral lists this transfer RNA (72 nucleotides) under Stegodyphus mimosarum. It matches the Rfam family "tRNA". Rfam says of the family: Transfer RNA (tRNA) molecules are approximately 80 nucleotides in length. Their secondary structure includes four short double-helical elements and three loops (D, anti-codon, and T loops). Lineage: Eukaryota; Metazoa; Arthropoda; Arachnida; Araneae; Eresidae. The record is from Rfam by way of RNAcentral.